UGGAUGUGCUUUCUUGAGCUUCUACCUUACAAUGAAAAGCCCAAAAUAAAAUACAUUGUCUGUUACUUCUGUGCCAUCAAGGCACCAACAGUUCUUUUAGAGGCUACACCCUUUCCAGGAAGUGUUUAAUUUUAGAGUUGGAGCUGCUGUGUGGUCUGCUUUGCUACAUAAUGAGCCACACUGAUGAGUGCACUAACGUCAGUGUGUUCCUACUCCUACUAUGUAUAUAAUACAUGUAAAUAUCCCAGUUAAAAUGGGAUUUGGAAUUUUUUCUUCAGAUCAGCACUUAAAAUGAUUGGCUUCUCAGCUACUGUACCACUACUUCCUUAUUUUUCUUGGAAAGUAAUGAUUUUGACAGUAGCUACUACAUGUGCAUCAGAGCAGCAAUAGUAUUCCUUUUAGGUAAACAGAAUAUCCCUGAAAACUGUUUUUACUGCUCCAAAUUCCCUCUUCAGAGAGUAGGAAUAACACCUACAUAGGCUGAACAACACAAGAUGUGCUCAGAUACAUAGAAACAGCGUGGUUUGGUAGUAUAACAGGUUUCAGAUCUUUUGUUACUUUUCUAGAAUCCAGACAUUCUAUGAAAGGGCUCCAGGAGGAAAUGUUAUCCUGCGUAGUAGCAGCAAGAGGUGAAAAAAUACAAAGUAUUAGAGAAGUUGUUAGUUUAAGCAGCUGUCCAUAAGUACUCUGAUUAAUAAUCUGCUGGCAUGCUACUGUGAACUAAUACCAGGAUUUGAGUAUCCUGCAGUUAAGACAAAAGACCAAAGUAACUUGCCCUUUGUAGUUCUGAAGCUGUAUCGUUUUUCUUCAAUGCAGACAUUUAAGGAGGUCUGAAGGUUGGAAUAUUAGCGGCCCUGUGCCGAGUUUAACAAUCCAUUAUUCUUCAGGUGAAGCGAGAUUUUUCUAAAUGGUAAAAAACCCAGAUAUAUCCUGUAAAACUACAGAGGCUGAGAUAACCUCAAGAGAGACAGAAGAGGAGAAACAAUCUGCUUGGGAAAAAGAAAUUCUGCUUCCCUUUAGGCUCUGGAGAAUAAAAAGGAGGGAGAGAUUUCAAGAUUGUGAGAUUUUACAGCUCUGCAGACCCUUAGUUGGGAUAGAUAACACCUGUCAGCCCUCGUAA
Molecule: long non-coding RNA, 1120 nt
Filed under: Cyanistes caeruleus (blue tit)
Lineage: Eukaryota; Metazoa; Chordata; Aves; Passeriformes; Paridae
Description: lncRNA (ENSCCEG00000014467.1)
Source: RNAcentral